UGUAGCUCAGAUGGUAGAGUAUUUACCUGACAUACAGGAAACCCUGGGUUCAAACCCCAGCA
RNAcentral lists this transfer RNA (62 nucleotides) under Neotoma lepida (desert woodrat). It matches the Rfam family "tRNA", at positions 6 to 65 of the family's 71-position model. From Rfam's summary of the family: Transfer RNA (tRNA) molecules are approximately 80 nucleotides in length. Lineage: Eukaryota; Metazoa; Chordata; Mammalia; Rodentia; Cricetidae. The record is from Rfam by way of RNAcentral.